Molecule: long non-coding RNA, 703 nt
Organism: Episyrphus balteatus (marmalade hoverfly)
Lineage: Eukaryota; Metazoa; Arthropoda; Insecta; Diptera; Syrphidae
Exons: 3
Source: RefSeq, a predicted model, not a curated record
GCCUAUCAAAGCAAGGAUGGCUUCAUUAUUGACUUAUAUUGGGCCGUAUGUUCUAUGUUCUUUAUGGUGUUGACGGUUGGAGUAGAAAUCAAAAUAGAAUUUCCAAUGAUAUACGGAGCAUACCUUUUCAAGCUGCUUAAUUGCAGAUUUUCAUUUGUUGUCGAUGAAAUUAAUACUCUAUGUAAAAAUUAUGGCAUAGAUUUGGAUGAACAAAAAUUAGAUUGUCUUUGCAACGAACUAGCAAAACUUGGAAGAAUUCAUAAAACUCAAUUGGUGUAUCACAAAUUUAUUACAUGUUCACAUUUCUUGUCCUUUGGAGUUCUUCUUUUGAAGAUGGAAAUUUUCAAGUAGCUUGUGCUUUUGGAUCAUUUUUUACAACGUUUAUAAACUUAUUUUGGAUGGUACAUGUUUGUUCGGAAACAAUUGACUCAUGUAAUGAACCGGGAGAAAUCUUAACAAAUCUUUCAGCAGACAAUUUGCUAAAUAAAGAAUUGGAAAUAAGCAUUCAAAUAGUUACAUUCCAGUUUUUGCAAGAAAAAAUGCAACUACCAAUCUAUGGGUUGUUUGAUUUAGAUUGGAGUACUGGAUUUCUUAUUACCGAAGUUGCUGUUUCACAAUUGAUAAUACUAUUGCAGUUUGAUUAUAUGAAUUUUGAAUUUUAGUUAAGCUAGUUUAUUUAUAAACACAUAAAUAAAUGUCUUAG